UGGGGAAUAUUGGGCAAUGGGCGCAAGCCUGACCCAGCAACGCCGCGUGAAGGAAGAAGGCUCUCGGGUUGUAAACUUCUUUAUCAGGGACGAAACAAAUGACGGUACCUGAUGAAUAAGCCACGGCUAACCUACGUGCCAGCAGCCGCGGUAAUACGUAGGUGGCAAGCGUUAUCCGGAUUUACUGGGUGUAAAGGGCGUGUAGGCGGGAUGGUAAGUCAGAUGUGAAAACUAUGGGCUCAACCCAUAGCCUGCAUUUGAAAACUAUCGUUCUUGAGUGCUGGAGAGGCAAUCGGAAUUCCGUGUGUAGCGGUGAAAUGCGUAGAUAUACGGAGGAACACCAGUGGCGAAGGCGGAUUGCUGGACAGUAACUGACGCUGAGGCGCGAAAAGCGUGGGGAAGCAAACAGGAUUAGAUACCC
This 421-nucleotide ribosomal RNA is filed under the name uncultured bacterium. RNAcentral describes it as "bacterial SSU rRNA". It matches the Rfam family "Bacterial small subunit ribosomal RNA", at positions 355 to 787 of the family's 1533-position model. The record is from RNAcentral.